GACGAACGCUGGCGGCGUGCUUAACACAUGCAAGUCGAACGCUGAAGCUCAGCUUUUGUUGGGUGGAUGAGUGGCGAACGGGUGAGUAACACGUGAGUAACCUGCCCCCUUCUUUGGGAUAACGCCCGGAAACGGGUGCUAAUACUGGAUAUUCACUGGUCUUCGCAUGGGGGUUGGUGGAAAGGGUUUUUCUGGUGGGGGAUGGGCUCGCGGCCUAUCAGCUUGUUGGUGGGGUGAUGGCCUACCAAGGCUUUGACGGGUAGCCGGCCUGAGAGGGUGACCGGUCACAUUGAGACUGAGAUACGGCCCAGACUACGACGAGAGGCAGCAGUGGGGAAUAUUGCACAAUGGGCGCAAGCCUGAUGCAGCGACGCCGCGUGAGGGAUGGGGGCCUUCGGGUUGUGAACCUCUUUCGCUCAUGGUCAAGCCGCAACAAUGGUUGUGGUGAGGGUAGUGGGUAAAGAAGCGCCGGCUAACUACGUG
This 483-nucleotide ribosomal RNA is filed under the name uncultured bacterium. RNAcentral's name for it is "partial 16S ribosomal RNA". It matches the Rfam family "Bacterial small subunit ribosomal RNA", at positions 28 to 507 of the family's 1533-position model. The record is from RNAcentral.